Epinephelus lanceolatus (giant grouper) is the source of this 602-nucleotide non-coding RNA. Lineage: Eukaryota; Metazoa; Chordata; Actinopteri; Perciformes; Serranidae. The record is from RefSeq and is a predicted model, not a curated record.
GCUUUAAUUUGAUAUUGUAAUGAAAAAUUGAAUAAAGAGGUUUUCGCGAGGACACCUUCAUGUUCUCUUCCUGGUUGAAAACAGCUGACACGACAACCACAGACGCAUUCGGCUGAAAGUCGCCAGUUAACAUGGUCGCGAGUAUCUCCGAAACACCGGAACUGGAUCUCCUGACUGACUUUGACUGACAAAAUUACCAGACUUGAGAAGAGAAGAGAAAGAGAGAGACUGAAAAUCUGGUGUGGAAUUUUGUGUUGGAUUACCUUGUUUUUCUUAUUGUGUUGGACUGUGUGUGUGGGGGGGUGGAUAUUGUGUCUUAAAUUUUCAUUGCAUUAUAAUAUACUCUGCUUGGUAUUGCAGUUAUUGUGUGGUGUUAUGUUAUUGUUGUGUGUCACUCAAUGCAGGGUGUAUUUUCUUAGUAUGGUACAUCCUUUGUAAGGUUUUGCAUUUAAAACAAACAAACAACUAAAAAACAAACAGAAAUACCUCAACUACCUAAAACUUGACCGACAAUCUUACAUGCCAGGGGAGAGACCUGGCUGGCACCCCAGAAAAAAAAAAAACAACGCAAACCUAAACUGAACAAAAUAAAAAUAAAAUAA